This 560-nucleotide ribosomal RNA is filed under the name uncultured Glomus. RNAcentral describes it as "SSU rRNA". It matches the Rfam family "Eukaryotic small subunit ribosomal RNA", at positions 546 to 1106 of the family's 1831-position model. Lineage: Eukaryota; Fungi; Glomeromycota; Glomeromycetes; Glomerales; Glomeraceae. The record is from RNAcentral.
AAUUGGAGGGCAAGUCUGGUGCCAGCAGCCGCGGUAAUUCCAGCUCCAAUAGCGUAUAUUAAAGUUGUUGCAGUUAAAAAGCUCGUAGUUGAAUUUCGGGAUCAAUAUUUCGGUCAUGCCGUUGGUAUGCACUGUUAUCAUUGAUUUCUCACCUUCUAAAGAACCGUAAUGCCAUUAAUUUGGUGUUACGGGGAAUUAGGACUGUUACCUUGAAAAAAUUAGAGUGUUUAAAGCAGGCUCACGCUUGAAUACAUUAGCAUGGAAUAAUGAAAUAGGACAUCCGAUUCUAUUUUGUUGGUUUCUAGGAUCGAUGUAAUGAUUAAUAGGGAUAGUUGGGGGCAUUAGUAUUCAAUUGUCAGAGGUGAAAUUCUUGGAUUUAUUGAAGACUAACUACUGCGAAAGCAUUUGCCAAGGAUGUUUUCAUUAAUCAAGAACGAAGGUUAGGGGAUCGAAGACGAUCAGAUACCGUCGUAGUCUUAACCAUAAACUAUGCCGACUAGGGAUCGGAUGAUGUUAAUUUUUUAAUGACUCAUUCGGCGCCUUACGGGAAACCAAAGUGU